RNAcentral lists this unclassified non-coding RNA (379 nucleotides) under uncultured Lysobacteraceae bacterium. RNAcentral's name for it is "uncultured Xanthomonadaceae bacterium contains 16S-23S intergenic spacer region". Lineage: Bacteria; Pseudomonadati; Pseudomonadota; Gammaproteobacteria; Lysobacterales; Lysobacteraceae. The record is from RNAcentral.
UCCGGUUUGUCACCGGCGGUCUCCUUAGAGUUCCCACCAUUACGUGCUGGCAACUAAGGACAAGGGUUGCGCUCGUUGCGGGACUUAACCCAACAUCUCACGACACGAGCUGACGACAGCCAUGCAGCACCUGUCUCACGGUUCCCGAAGGCACUCCCUCAUCUCUGAAGGAUUCCGUGGAUGUCAAGGCCAGGUAAGGUUCUUCGCGUUGCAUCGAAUUAAACCACAUACUCCACCGCUUGUGCGGGCCCCCGUCAAUUCCUUUGAGUUUCAGUCUUGCGACCGUACUCCCCAGGCGGCGAACUUAACGCGUUAGCUUCGAUACUGAGAGCCUAAUUGCUCCCAACAUCCAGUUCGCAUCGUUUAGGGCGUGGACUAC